RNAcentral lists this non-coding RNA (148 nucleotides) under Gorilla gorilla gorilla (western lowland gorilla). Lineage: Eukaryota; Metazoa; Chordata; Mammalia; Primates; Hominidae. The record is from Rfam by way of RNAcentral.
GCCGGGUAUGGUGGUGCAUGCCUGUAAUCCCAGCUACUCAGGAGGCUGAGGCAGGAGAAUCACUUGAAUCCAGGAGGCGGAGGUUGCAGUGAGCUGAGAUGGUGCCACUGCACUCCAGCCUGGGUGACAGAGUGAGACUCAGUCUCAG